Meriones unguiculatus (Mongolian gerbil) is the source of this 8001-nucleotide long non-coding RNA. RefSeq lists it as uncharacterized. NCBI's taxonomy places the organism in Eukaryota, Metazoa, Chordata, Mammalia, Rodentia, Muridae. The record is from RefSeq and is a predicted model, not a curated record. The transcript has 3 exons.
GGCGUUCACCCACACCACUCACCUCUCCUGAUUUCAUCUGAUUAAUGUGUAACCAAAGAAGUGAAAGGCAUUUCACAAUCUGCAUGUCUCGGCAAUUCGGAAAUUCCUUCAGCUUGGAAGUAAUCGCCAGCAAGGCUCCCUCCUCUCUGACAUAUUUAUUCUUCCUCUUCAGAUUCAAACCGUUCCAGAAGCAUCUUCAAAUUAUAUUUCAAACAAAGUGGGUAGAAUAAAAAGAUAGAAGCAGAAGCCACAGAGAAGAGCCCAAGGUUUACCAUUCUUGAGAUAUGGAUAUUUUCUCUAGCAAGAGCGAGGCCUGCAGUGCCUCAGCCCACAGCUAGACACUAACCACCAGCAAUUCUCCAUCACAAAGUUCAUUUAAAAUGGCCCAGCCAGCAGGCCCGUGAUCCCAGCACCAAGGACCGGAGCUCAAGGCCAGCCAGCAUGACACCAGACCCUGUCUCUAAAGAGCAAAUAAACACCAUCCAGCCGUAGAAAUUAUGUAACUUGAAUGGACUCUCACUGCGUGGUCUCACCGUGCGUGCAGCUGGACUAGAGCUUGCCGUGUGGGCCAGGCUGGACUUGAACUCGAAGAUCUACCCUCCUCUGCAAGAUUUAAAGGUGUGUGCUACCACACCUAGAGAUAACAUCUUUUAAGGGCUUUUCCUGGUGCCUGUUUUCAAGAAUACUUCGUUUUUAAAUAUGUUGACAGAUCAUAGCCCAGCGCUUGGGAGGCAAAGACAGAUCUCUAAAGAAAGAAAAAAACGAAAGGAAGGAAGGAAGGAAGGAAGGAAGGAAGGAAGGAAGGAAGGAAGGAAGGAAGGAAGAGAAAAAAGAAAGAAUCCUCCAAACAAAAUGGCUGUCUCUUCUUCACAUGCAUGCUGUGAGUUUUCACAAAGAUGACCACCAGAAUCUGCAAUACCAAUGAAGGCUGGUAUGAAUACCGUAUCUCUUACUCUUGAAGUUGGAUGCCCAGCCUCUCCCAGAAAUCAGGUCCCCGGCCCCUUACCACGUAUAUAAACUACUUGAUGUAGGGCGAUCAGUAGACGUAGCUGUGGGAUAAUUAAUGCGACACAGCAACGUGAAACCCGAGUUGUUAAAGUUUACAGCACUUCCCCUCACAGCACCGCUCCCGCCACUGUCCUUGCCUCGGCACACAGUAAAUCAUCUACCUAAAUGUAUUUGCACCCAAUCAUUUUUUAAAGUCACAAUCUUUGUAGUGUCAACUUGUCAAGGGUCAAAGGGAAGAACAGGCAAGAUUCCCAAAUCAAUCUGCUUGUAGAAACUGUCUCGUUUCAUUUCAGAUUACCUACUGUGCUGGACGCCGGGCAUGGACAAACUGCCGUCCUCCAUAAACCGUGACAGCACGGGUCGAACUUAUGCAAUCAUUCAUAAAGGGCCGAGUCAUGUCUCUUCUGUCAUUAACUACUUUUAAACGGCUCUGCAGGGGGAAGUGAUCUUGCAGGACAGCCACAGAUAUAAAUACUGUUUGGACAGUUUAAUGUCGAGAGACAACUCCUCUGGGAUUAAAACUGUGUAACCCAAUGAGAUGCCUGUCCACGCAAGGACUAAGGUGCUUUGGCAUUAUUACAGGAACCCAUACCUUUACAUAUGUUUUGUGCAAGAGAGCCAACGGCAAGCGGAACACCAUUUAUCUACCUUAUGCAACGACACAGUAUCCUGAAAUGUUAAAAAUAGCUUUAGCACUCAGAGUCUCGGCCGCUCCAGAAAGCGUUCUUCCACAGUUCACACCUUGUGAGGCCAAACAGAAAGUGAGGGCACACGAUGAUGUGAACCCUGGGCCCGCAGAACUCACUGGACUGUUAAAGACCUAAAGCUGUCCGUGGAAUCAGGGCAGCUGGAUAAAAGAACUGGUUUCCAAUAGGACUGAAAUGGUUGUCCCUCACCAUCUUGGCUCACCCAUGGUGGUCCGAAGUCACACCUAAAUCAACAGCUGAUGUUUACUGAACUCUUGGUGCACACUGAAUACCGUGUGAAGGGACUUACAUGUGUGACCUUGCCGAAACUCGUUUCCUAAUGGGGAAUCUGUUGUAAUCUCAGUUUAAAGGUAGGAAGGCUGUGAAUCAGAGCAGACAUGGAUGUGCCUCAGUGGAACUAAUUUUGUGUGAACUGGGGAAGUCACCUAUGAUGCUAUGCUGCCUCCAUCACCACCUACCCCCUGGAAGGAAUUUUGUUGCCUGACAUAUGCAGUAUUACACAGUUUAAAUGCAGUGUCUCCGCUUUCGUUAACAUUCAUGCUAUGUGCAAAAUCCUUCCGGAUCACUAAAAAGGGAAGUGUUGCUUAGUUACGAGGAGGCACACUGAGUCGAAUCAAGUGGAUGUAAGACUCCCUCUAUGGGAACAUGAAGACUUUCCAGAGGGUACGUGGGCACGGAACUUUUAAGGAAAUCAAUUUCAAAAUACUCAGUGUCCGUAUGUUUUCUCUCCUAAAAUUAAUCAUGCUGAGAAAAUAUGCUAAUCUACACUUUCUACCCCAAAUCACAACAGAUGUUUCCCAACCUACUUCAAAAGAAACACCUCCCCCACGCACACAUACCAACGCUUAUCCUACCAGGAAGGUGAGAGCCUUCACCUUUCCAAAUUUCCUCACCAGUCUAUCCCUAAAAGAGACGUGUGUCAGUCAAAAAUCAGUGUAAAACUCAUCUAUCAGAUAUAAAGGAUCUGUGAUGUUCGGAUCAGCUUCUGAUGACAGCUCAGUGUGGAAGGAAGUUGUCGACCUUCAGAACCUUGAUUUAGUGUAAAAUGCAUGUGGACACAGCUGCACAGCAGAAAAGGAGUAAGGACAACCAGCAUAGGACAAGCUGCCUUAGGAAAAGGGACAAAGAGAAUGGAGAUGAAAUUUCAAAGGAAAAAAGAAAAAAAAAGGGUGUGAGCAUUUUUUUUAAUUCUUCAUUUGAAUAUUAUGUGCAUGGGUAUUUUGCCUGCAAGCAUGUCUGUGUGGGUUGUCAGAUCUUAGAGUUUCAGACAGUUGUGAGCUGCCAUGUGGGGGCUGGGAAUUGAACUGGAGUCCUCUGAAAGAGCAGUCAGCUUUCAACCACUGAGCUAGCUCUCCAGCCCCCAGGUUUGAGCAUUUUUAAAUGGGUGCUGGUGAGCACAAAAUCACUGUGAAAUUCAUAUUCCUCUGCCUGCAUCCCAACCAGUUUCUCCUCUGUAGCACUGUGGACAUUUUGGGCUGUCUACACAUAGGCAAACACAUACACUCAUAUAUACAUGCAUGUACAUAGUGCGACCUCUAAAGACAUCCCAACAUAUGGCCCAGGGUGACGAGGAGAGAGUGCACUUAAAGAAGCAAUAUAAUACAAAAUAAGUCGGGUGUGGUAGCUCACGCCUUUAAUCCCAGCACUCGGCGAGGCAGAGGCAGGUGGGUCUCCAGGAGUUUGAGGCCAGCCUGGUCUACAGAUCAAGUCCAGGACAGCCAAGGCUACACAAAAAAAACAAGAGAGAGAGAGACAGACACACAGACAGAGAAAAUCAAGAAAAGAAGCAAUAUAAUGGAUUAUGUUUCAAUUUUUUAUUUUAAAUCUAUUCACAUUGAGCUUCCAAUCAAAAUUGUGCAAAAACAGUGCAUAUUUUUUUAAGUGUUAUCAUUGUGUGUACCCUUGAUGGGGGAAGGACAUUUGUGUGGAUGUUGGAGAACUUUCUCUUUUUUUACUUGUUGUAUUUGAUCUGUAUGAGUGUUUUGACUGGUUAUAUGUAUUUAAACCACGUGUGUACAGUAGCUGUGGAAGCCAGAGGAGAGUGUUGGAUUCCCAUGGAGCUGGAGUUACAGAUGGCUGUAAGCAGCCACGUGAGUGUAGGAAACUGAAUUCAGAUCCUCUAGGAGAACAGCAAGUGCCCUUCACCUAUGAGCCAUCUCUCCAGCCCCGUCAGAGGACAACUGUGUGGUGUCUGUCUCUCCAACUUUACCUUAGUUCCAGGGACUGAACUCAGGUACCAGGUCUGCAUGACCUUUACCGGAUGAGCCAUCUGCCCAAGAUGGAAUAUAUUUUCAGAAAAUUAUUCUUAGAAGUGUAUAGAGGGGCUAAAGAGAUGACUCAGCAGUUAAGAGCACUGCUUCUUUUCCAGAGUGGCUGGCUGUUCACAACUGUCUGUAAUUCCAGUUCCAGCGAAUCCCACACACUCUUCUGGCUUCCUAGGGAACCAGGCAUGCAAGUGGUGCUCAGACAUGCAUGCAGGCAAAACAUUCAUAUAUAUAAAAUUUGUGGUUGUUUUGGUGUUUCUUCUCUGUGUAGCAGCUCUGGCUGUCCUGGACCUCACUUUGUAGACCAGGCUGGCCUCAAACUCACUGCCUCCAAAGCGCUGGGAUAAAAGGCAUGUGCCACCUCAGAGAUUUUUUUUUAAUUAAAAAUAAUGAUUUUUGAGAAAGUAUAUGUGGGCAAAAAUGAUCCCAAUGCCACAGAAAGAGAGCCGAGGUCAGUACUGGGCGUGGUGAGGGCAGAUGGAAGAUCAAGGGAGGAUUCAAUGCUCCAUUUCCCCUGCCCCGUGAUUCGGGCUCCAAGCUGAUGUUUGGGAAGCCUGUUUGGUGUGUGAACAUGAGGCAGCGUGGAGCAGCCUGCAGCUUGGAAGCAGAGGCUUGCAGGUAUGGCACGGGCCAGACAACCUGCUUGGUUUGCAAACAACAUAGAUAGAACCUGGACUGUUGUGCUAAUCCUGACAUUUUAGGAUUUUUUUCUCUUUUUUUUCUGGUGUGGGCGUUUUGCCUGCAUGCCUGUCUCUGUAGUGUGUGGGUACCUGGAGCCUGUGAAGGCCAGAAGAGGUCUGUGGACCCCCUGGAACUGGAGCUAUUGAUGGAGCCACAAUAUAGGUGCUGGGAGUCUAAGCUGGGCCCUCCGGAAGAGCAACCAGUGCUCUUAACUGAUGAACCAUCCCUCCAACUCGGUAAUCUUACAGCCGUAUCUAUUUUUCUCUUUCUUCUUCUUCUUUUUUUUUUUUUUUUUUUUUUUCUUUUUCAUUUUUGAGACGGGUCCUACUUUAUAACCCAGGCUGUCCUCCAACUCAAAACAAUUCUUCUGCCUCAGCCCCAUGACUUACUUUUAAUGAUUCAAUCAAGCUUUCUCUCUCUCUCUCUCUCUCUCUCUCUCUCUCUCUCUCCCAUCUCCCCAAUUCACAAUGGCAAAAUUAAUAGUGCACACAGGCAAGACUGAGAAAAUGCUACUACUCAUAAUCUCAUAAACUAGAGAAACAGGGCCUUCUUGUACAUAUUCUUUUGAAACCCUACAUACUAAAAUUAGCAGUUCAUAGCUGGGUGUGGGGUACACACCUGUAAUCCAAGUACUCAGGAGACACAGGCAGGAAGAUCAGGAGUUCAAGGCCAGCCUAAGCUAUGCAAUAAGACCCUGUCUCAAGAAAACAAAACAAAACAAAAUUAAAAAGAGGCAUGUCAAGCCAGGGAUGGAGUAACAGCCUUGCCUACCAUGCUUCAGGCCCUGAGUUCAAUCCCCAACAUUAAAGAAUAAUUAAACAGGGACUAGAGAGAUGGCUCAGCAGUUAAAUACAGUGGCUGCUCUCCCAGAAGACCCAGGUUCAGUUCACAGCACCCACAUGGCUGCUCACAACCAGGGGAUACAAUGCCCUCUUCUGGCCUCUCUGGGCACUGCAUGUAAGCAUACAAGUAAGCAAAAUUCCCAUAAAAAAUUAAAAAUAUAUACAUUGUAAUUAAGUAAGUAAAAUAAAUAAAUAUACUGUUUCUAGAUUCAACUCUAAUUCUCCAAUACACAUUUAAGAUGCUUUAUAUUUUAACAGUAAUUACAAUAAUAAUGCCAUUCAGAUCUGGUAUCUCACCUUAGCUCACCCAGUUUUGGGUCCGCCAGUCUACCCAGCUGUGAAAGUGAGGUAGUGGGCCCUGGAAGCUGCCUGACCAAAGGGCUAAGUUCAGCGUUCUUCCAGGGACUACACCUUUUCGGAAACAAAAGCCAACGGUCUUCAGGUAUGAUAAGCACUGCUUUUGGAAGCACAGCCUUGAUGAAGACAGCUGCAUGCAUUUGAUGGACUUAGGAAGGGCCUGCUUGCCAAGGUCACAUUUGAUAGCUGAAUCCUUAAAACAAAGUCAAGGUUGGAUAGUCCAAACAAUCGAAUUUCUUAGUUUAGUUCAUGGCGUGAGUGAAUACGAGGCGACGCUGGCCUUCUGAAAACUGUGUUGGUCCAGGGACGGGCAGCACACAAGGCCGCCAAGACAGGAGGCAGCAUAGCAACGAGUGUAGUGCGGUCCAGUGGGAGCCAAAUCCUCAAAGGGCCCACAGGCCGCACAAGAGAAUGCCACCGUGGAGAUGGGAGACCUCCCUGCAGCCAGCCUGUGUGUAUUUAGUGGGGACCUCGGGGGAGUGUCUUGGGCUCUGGUGGUGCACACAGGCCGAAGAUUAUGGUGGAGAAGGAGAAGCCACUGCAGGCAGGUAUCACCUCCACGCCCACUUUCCUCAAGCACAAAGUAGGGGGAUCUUUUAGGGCAGCAUAUGAAAUAGAACAGUAUUUACAGCACAUGAGGUAUAAGAGUUCCAUCAAGUCUUAUUCAGGAAACCUGAGCAGGACCUACCCUUAUAAUACCAGCCCUUAUUGUGUGGAGAUAGGGAGGACCAGGAGCCCGUAUCCCAUACCAGUAGAUUUAAGACCAAGCCAGGCUACAUGAGACCCUAUCUCAAAGAAUAAGAACAAUAGGAGAUGCAGACCAGUUUGGUUGAAUGCUUGCCUAGGAGUAUGUAUAAAGCAGUGUGUAAAAUGCAAGUUUUUUUUUUUUUUCUGUGCCUGCCCUUGUUCUAAAUAAUGACAUGGAGACCUCUACAUUUUAUUAUAAGUGUCAGGCACUGCAGCUGGGCAGGCACGCAGCUAUUCUAACCUGAUAAUUCUGGCCUGGCUUACUUCCCAGCCACGUGGCCCAUUACCUGCCACUUAGCCACACCCUGGCACCCCCUUCUUCAUCUGUGCCUUAACGGUGACUCUCCCUCCUUCUGGUGCCCACCUGGGACCUUCUCCCUGGACUCAGAAGUUCCACCUUAUCUUCUCCUGCCCAGCUAUUGGCUGUUCAACUCUUUAUUUAACCAGUUGGAAGGUGAUGGAGAGCAAGGUUUACAACACACCAAGACAGGAGAUGCUUCAUAAUAAUGGCAAUGCCCGCCAACUGCAACCAGAGCUCUGUGCACAGAAAGCAGCAUCUGAAUACACAGUGCACAAAAACAUCCUCCAACAAUAGUGGGUUCAAUCCCCGGCACAUAAGUGGGAGGCGGUGACACACACCUGUAAUUCCAGCAAUGAGAAAGCACAGGCAGGAGGAUCAGAAGUUCAAGGUUAUCUUCAGCUACGUGGUGAGUUGCAGGAUAGCCUGAAAAACAUGAAGUGUGUGUGUGUGUGUGUGUGUGUGUGUGUGUCUUAUAUGUAGAAUCUUAAAAAAAAGGAUAAAGAACUAUUUACGCUGGGCAUGGUGGGACACGCCUCUAAUCCUUAUACUCAGGAAGGCUGAGGCAGGUUUAUUUUUGUGAGUUUGAGGCCAGAGAGGUCUACAAAAGGAAUCCAGGACAACCCAGGCUACACAGAGAAACCCUGUCUUAGAAUAAAUAAAAUAAAAUAAAAUAAAAUAAAAUAAAAUAAAAUAAAAAAGAAUAAGGAGAUAAAUGUGACUGAAGCACAUUGCAUGCAUGAACGGACCUUAAUAAAACCUGGCAUACCAUAAUGACCUGCUCCGGAAAUCCCAGCACCCAGGAAGCUGAUGGUAAAUUCAAGGCCAACCUGAGCUAUGACAGAGAGACCUGUCAAAAAUAAAUAAACAAAAAUAUAAAAUAUUGGGCUGGAGAAAUGGCUCAGAGAUUAACAGUACUGGCUGCUCUUCCACAGGUCCUGAGUUCAAUUCCCAGCAACUACAUGGUGGGUCAUAAUCAUCUAUAACGAGAUCUGACGCCUUCUUCUGGCAUGCAGGCAGAAUAAUGUACACAUAAAUAAAUAAAUCUUUAAACUAUAUAUAAAAUAUUAUAAUGAAACCCAUUAUUACAAAUGAUA